This 316-nucleotide ribosomal RNA is filed under the name uncultured bacterium. RNAcentral's name for it is "bacterial SSU rRNA". It matches the Rfam family "Bacterial small subunit ribosomal RNA", at positions 29 to 334 of the family's 1533-position model. The record is from RNAcentral.
UAUGAGCGCUGGCGGCGUGCUUAACACAUGCAGGUCGAACGAAGCACCUUGACUUCUUCGGAAUGAUUGGUGACUGAGUGGCGGACGGGUGAGUAACGCGUGGGUAACCUGCCUCACACAGGGGGAUAACAGUUAGAAAUGACUGCUAAUACCGCAUAAGACCACAGUACCGCAUGGUACAGUGAUAAAAACUCCGGUGGUGUGAGAUGGACCCGCGUCUGACUAGCUAGUUGGUGAGGUAACGGCUCACCAAGGCGACGAUCAGUAGCCGACCUGAGAGGGUGAUCGGCCACACUGGGACUGAGACACGGCCCAG